GACGAACGCUGGCGGCGUGCUUAACACAUGCAAGUCGAACGGUGAAGCCCUUCGGGGUGGAUCAGUGGCGAACGGGUGAGUAACACGUGAGCAAUCUGCCCUUGACUCUGGGAUAACUUCGGGAAACCGGAGCUAAUACCGGAUAUGACACGCGGCCGCAUGGUCUGUGUGUGGAAAGAUUUAUUGGUCAGGGAUGAGCUCGCGGCCUAUCAGCUUGUUGGGGGGUAAUGGCCUACCAAGGCGACGACGGGUAGCCGGCCUGAGAGGGCGACCGGCCACACUGGGACUGAGACACGGCCCAGACUCCUACGGGAGGCAGCAGUAAGGAAUAUUGGUCAAUGGGCGGAAGCCUGAACCAGCCAUGCCGCGUGCAGGAAGACGGCCCUACGGGUUGUAAACUGCUUUUGUACCGGAAUAAACCUUGAUAUGUAUAUCGAGCUGAAUGUACGGUAAGAAUAAGGAUCGGCUAACUCCGUGCCAGCAG
RNAcentral lists this ribosomal RNA (484 nucleotides) under uncultured bacterium. Its description in RNAcentral is "bacterial SSU rRNA". It matches the Rfam family "Bacterial small subunit ribosomal RNA", at positions 28 to 514 of the family's 1533-position model. The record is from RNAcentral.